GCGGCCUGCUCGUGAUCGUCUUCUCACCGUUCAUGGGACAGGCGGAUGAAGGAAGGCCCCCGCGAGGAUGUGACUCGCGGGGGCCUUCC
This 89-nucleotide non-coding RNA is filed under the name Actinobacteria bacterium OK074. RNAcentral's name for it is "sodF sRNA". It matches the Rfam family "sodF sRNA". From Rfam's summary of the family: Identified in Streptomyces coelicolor. It is produced from sodF mRNA by cleavage of about 90 nucleotides from its 3'UTR. Lineage: Bacteria; Bacillati; Actinomycetota; Actinomycetes. The record is from Rfam by way of RNAcentral.